GAGAGGGGAAGGGAGAUCAAACACCAUGUGGGGAGGAGGACAGGAAAAUCUCUCUUGUCAGUGCUAAGUCUUAACUUAUAAUCAGAUGGAAUGGUUUUAACCGGGCUCUGCUAUCCCAGGGAUUUUCAGAAAGGAUGUUGAAGUAACGAAAUAACCUUGGUCUCUUGUGCUUCUUGCUCUUUUGCAGGUUGAGGAGAAAUGCUGCGUAUGUCUGUCUGUUUAUGCUUUGGGAAAGAUUUCUGUGCCCUCUGUUGAUGUCAGAAUGUAACUGUCAACAUUGAAGGCCUUGUGCUGUUUUUAUGCUGCAGACCUGUCUAUCUGUAGCUGCUUGGUGACAAGUUCUAAAAGAGGAGAGAGAGAGAGAGAGAGAGAGAGAGAGAGAGAGAAUCGGGAACCUCAUCGUGCACCUUUGCAGGAAGCCCCAGUACUUGGCUCAGGGAAAAGACAAAGUCAGAAAAGGCAGGAAGGAAGGAAGGAAGGAAGGAAGGAAGGAAGGAAGGAAGGGUGUAGGAUUGUUCCUGGAACAUUUGGAGGUAGGAGAUGAUGACGAGUAACUUCCAACCUGAUUUUUCCUUUCAAACCAAGCCUUUCUGGCAAAAAAGACUGUAUUGCAUGGACAGAUUUCUCAGUGGCUCCAACAUUGCUACCUCUGCAACCGGUGGUAAUGCCAAAGCAGAAAAAAAGAAAACUUGCACAGCUUCCACCCAAACUGAGCCUCCCUGAAAUCUUUUGAAAAAAUUGCACUCUUCCACCCCAUGACAUCAAUGAAAUCCCACACAUUUCAACCGUAUGCAAAUAGGGUGGCAAAAUGGAAGACGGAGCAUUAACCUGCUUAAUAACCACAGAUGUGACUUCCAGCUAUCCAAAAGCAACAGAGUAGUAUAGUCAGGAAACAGUUGGUUUUGAGUCAACUCCCAAUUAAUUGAGCUUGUAAUUUUAAUCCAGCUACACAACUUCACCGUACUUUUCUGUCUAUAAGACGCCCUCAUGUAUAAGACUGAAAUUCUUCAGUCCCCUCAUGGGGGACUGAAAUUUAAGAAAAUGGGGAAAAUGGCACAAAUUGUUGAGCUUUCUUGUGGAGGAUUGCACAGAGUUCUUGAGCUUUGUGGGGGGGAUUACCGAGGGUUGUUGAGCUUUUUUGGCGGGAGAAUGCCAAAAACCGCUCACCCGCAUGCGACACAAAAUCUGCCUCCCAUCUGUCCACUCACCGGCAAAAGCUGAUAAUUGACCGCCCAAUUGCCACAGUGUUGGCCAAUCAACACCACCCAUUGACGCAGCAACCAAUAACACGCACAAUAGCCGCGGCACCAACCAACCAAACGUCCACCCAUGUAUAAGACGACCCCAACAUUUUAGCAUGAUUUCUAAGGAAAAAACCUAAUCUUAUACACAGAAAUGUACGGUAAAUUGAUUUGAUUAAUUGAUUAUAGUUGCAGAUCUAAAUAUUAUAUAUGCAUCCAUUAGGGGGGAAAUAUGCAACCUUUUCACUAAACUCCAUUCUUUUGAAAACAAGUGUUUAUUUCUUACCAAGGAUACUGGGCACAUGGUAUCAAAGUGUUUUCUUGGUGUUCUUUGUAUAGCAGGUUUGCUGAAGUGAUUCUAUAAUGCCAGGGGGGAAGAUAAAUAUGUUUUGAAGUCUAAUAUCUGAAAGCUCAGUGGCAUCUUGUUUUUGGUACAAAAUAGUGGACAUGACUUUCCUUAUUAGACAGUAAUUUCAUUUCCCUCCCAUUAGUUGGCACUUAACUGGCUCAUAAAGCCAGUGCCACAGUAGACACAUCUUAAUUAUUAGUAAACAAGGAAGGAAUAAAUUAAAUAAAUGGUUCUUUUGUGAUCAGAUCAUAGUCACUUAAAACAGUAGUGUUAUUGCUUUUCAUAUAUCCGCAAGAAACCAAUGUUCCUGAAACUCUUCACCAACCUAUAAAAAAAUCUUAAUAUUAUGUGUGUCUGUGUGUAUAUGUUAUAUCACGUAUAAAAUUCCCUGUCUUGCUAGCCUUUGCCAAAGGCUAAUAAUGGGUGAUAAAACUCAAGUUUAGAGAGAGAGAGAGAGAGAAUUCACAAAAGAACAAUCUUCCCAUAGCAGUUUUGUAAGGUUCUGAUCUCUUAGCCAUUGCUUUGUAGAUGUUUCAGACACUAUAUAGAUAUGGAGAAAUACUGUUGAUACUUUGACAAAGAGCAUACCAUGGUUCAUAAAAGGUAAAGGUAAAGGUAAAGGGACCCCUGACCAUUAGGUCCAGUCGUGGCCGACUCUGGGGUUACGCUGCUCAUCUCGCUUUAUUGGCUGAGGGAGCUGGCGUGGCCGCUUUUGGCGAACCAGAGCAGCGCACGGAAACGCCGUUUAUCUUCCCGCCGGAGCGGUCCCUAUUUAUCUACUUGCACUUUGACGUGCUUUCAAACUGCUAGGUUGGCAGGAGAAGGGACCGAACAAUGGGAGCUCACCACGUGGCGGGGAUUCAAACCGCCACCCUUCUGAUUGGCAAGUCCUAGGCUCUGUGAUUUAACCCACAGCGCUACCCGCGUCCCACCACGGUUCAUAGUGAUUAGUAAUAACUAAAUAGGGGGUGGGAAUCAUAUGACAGCCCCUUACUGCUGAAAAGACAAGCAGUUUUAAGAACUGUACUGUACUGUGACACCAAUAUAUUUUGUUUUUGGCAAUGUGAAAUGCUGUGAGAAAGGAUCCAGCUCAUUAUGUAGCUUUCCCCUACGUACAUAGAUUACUCAUAUAUAUAUAUAUGGUGAGGCAAGGAAAGAAGGGCUACUCUUAUGCUAUUCAUAUAAUCAGUUAUCAGUAAUCAAUAUAUUCAUAUCAAUAUAUUCAUAUAUGCUCACACAUAAUCAGGGCUUACAGUAUUUUUAUAAUCCAUUUUGAAUCAAAGGGAAGCUUUGCCUUAGCUAACUGCAAACUGCUUGAAACAGCACUUAGAACCGACCUUUCCCCUAGAAACAUCCGUGUACCCUGAACAAGGGGAAGACAUGAAUCAAAGACACUGGUACAAAAUCCCCUCAAAUACAGGCUAAAUUAAUCCACAGAACAGGAAGAGCUAAACCACAAAAACUCCAAAACUCCCUGUCCUGUCAUAACUAGGGGAGAGGUUAGACAGCGCAUCACUGCAGGCAAUGGAAAGCAGAAGUAGAACUCUGCGCUUGACCAGGAGCUGUAAGCCUGGCAAGAAGCACGCUAAUUGGCUAAUUUUCGCUGGCGAUUCGUGACUGUCUCAUGAUUGUCUCAUGAUCUGUGAUUUGCUGCGAUUUGCUCAGGUAUAAAGACCUCAGGAUUUCUGUCAUUCGAGGUCCCAGUCCUUUUGGAAGAGAUUCCAACUGGGUCCUUAUUGCUCAGCAAUAAAACCUCACCUUCUUUUCUCCAUUGCUGCAUCUGCCUGAUUCACACUAAGUGGGUACCUGCUAUACCGUCACGUGCUUCAUUUGGUGCCGUGACUCGGAUCAUACAGGCCAGUAGGGUAACUGGCCCACCCCCCAUGGGCCACUUUUGAUAGGUGGGCCCCACCUACCAAUCAGCUGUUAUCACAUGAUGCUAGGAGUCUUUCUUUAAACCAGGGUUGCAAAGGGAGAAUCUUGGUGAAACCAAUCACAAUGGGGCUUUACAUUUGGUGCCAGAUUUAAUAGUGUUGCAUUGAGAUUGCUAAGAAACAAUUGACAGUGCACCUCCAAACUCUGGGUUGUUCCUUUGCAGCCGUAGCUUUAUCUGCCCCACACCUGAAGUCAUGUGAUGUCAGGGCCAGGUGGGUGAAAAUGUCCCCAAAGAUCAAAUCAGAACCCCUGGAAGACCUAAUUCUUCCCUUGAGCCAGAGGUUUCUCAUUUUGUACCUUAGGAUCUUCAUCAAAGGCAACAGAAAUCACAGUGGUUCCAAGCAUGGGAGUC
Non-coding RNA from Podarcis lilfordi (Lilford's wall lizard), 3877 nucleotides. NCBI's taxonomy places the organism in Eukaryota, Metazoa, Chordata, Lepidosauria, Squamata, Lacertidae. The record is from the annotation of a GenBank genome assembly.